Molecule: unclassified non-coding RNA, 253 nt
Filed under: uncultured Flavobacteriaceae bacterium
Lineage: Bacteria; Pseudomonadati; Bacteroidota; Flavobacteriia; Flavobacteriales; Flavobacteriaceae
Description: contains 16S-23S intergenic spacer region
Rfam family: Bacterial small subunit ribosomal RNA
Source: RNAcentral
UACGGAGGAUCCAAGCGUUAUCUGGAAUCAUUGGGGUUAAAGGGUCCGCAGGCGUGAUAAUAAGUCAGUGGUGAAAGUCUGCUGCUCAACUGUAGAAUUGCCAUUGAUACUGUUAACAUUGAGUAAUUAUGAAGUGGUUAGAAUAUGUAGUGUAGCGGUGAAAUGCAUAGAUAUUACAUAGAAUACCGAUUGCGAAGGCAGAUCACUAAUAAUUCACUGACGCUGAUGGACGAAAGCGUAGGUAGCGAACAGG